GAUGAACGCUGGCGGCGCGCCUAACACAUGCAAGUCGAACGGCACCCCUCCUCGGAGGGCAGCGAGUGGCGAACGGCUGAGUAACACGUGGAGAACCUGCCCCCUCCCCCGGGAUAGCCGCCCGAAAGGACGGGUAAUACCGGAUACCCCGGGGUGCCGCAUGGCACCCCGGCUAAAGCCCCGACGGGAGGGGAUGGCUCCGCGGCCCAUCAGGUAGACGGCGGGGUGACGGCCCACCGUGCCGACAACGGGUAGCCGGGUUGAGAGACCGACCGGCCAGAUUGGGACUGAGACACGGCCCAGACCCCUACGGGAGGCCGCAGUGGGGAAUCUUGCGCAAUGGGGGGAACCCUGACGCAGCGACGCCGCGUGCGGGACGGAGGCCUUCGGGUCGUAAACCGCUUUCAGCAGGGAAGAGUCAAGACUUUACCUGCAGAAGAAGCCCCGGCUAACUACGUG
Molecule: ribosomal RNA, 459 nt
Filed under: uncultured bacterium
Lineage: Bacteria
Description: partial 16S ribosomal RNA
Rfam family: Bacterial small subunit ribosomal RNA
Source: RNAcentral